This 68-nucleotide transfer RNA is filed under the name Xenodermichthys copei (bluntnose smooth-head). Its description in RNAcentral is "tRNA-Arg". Lineage: Eukaryota; Metazoa; Chordata; Actinopteri; Alepocephaliformes; Alepocephalidae. The record is from RNAcentral.
CGGGGACUAGUCCAAACAAGACCUCUGACUUCGACUCAGAAAAUCGUGAGUAAUCCCACGGUCCCCGU